This 476-nucleotide ribosomal RNA is filed under the name uncultured bacterium. RNAcentral describes it as "bacterial SSU rRNA". It matches the Rfam family "Bacterial small subunit ribosomal RNA", at positions 28 to 507 of the family's 1533-position model. The record is from RNAcentral.
GAUGAACGCUGGCGGCGUGCCUCAAACAUGCAAGUCGAGCGGGGCUAUGUAAUAUCGCAAGGUAGAACAUAGCCUAGCGGCGAACGGGUGAGUAACACGUGGGUAACCUGCCUGGAAGACAGGGAUAACGAUUCGAAAGGGUCGCUAAUACCUGAUAAUAUCCUUUCAUCGCAUGGUGAUAGGAAGAAAGGGGAAACCCGCUUUCAGAUGGGCCCGCGUCCCAUCAGCUAGUUGGUAAGGUAAAGGCUUACCAAGGCGACGACGGGUAGCCGGUCUGAGAGGAUGUACGGCCACACUGGGACUGAGAUACGGCCCAGACUCCUACGGGAGGCAGCAGUUGGGAAUCUUAGGCAAUGGACGAAAGUCUGACCUAGCGACGCCGCGUGAGGGAAGAAGGCCUUCGGGUUGUAAACCUCUGUCAGUGGGGGAAGAAGGAAGUGACGGUACCUCCGGAGGAAGCCACGGCUAACUACGUG